RNAcentral lists this ribosomal RNA (430 nucleotides) under uncultured bacterium. RNAcentral's name for it is "bacterial SSU rRNA". It matches the Rfam family "Bacterial small subunit ribosomal RNA", at positions 917 to 1344 of the family's 1533-position model. The record is from RNAcentral.
GGACCCGCACAAGCGGUGGAGUAUGUGGCUUAAUUCGAUGCAACGCGAAGAACCUUACCUAGGCUUGACAUGCUUGUCGUACUCUCCCGAAAAGGAGAGGUCACUUCGGGUGGACAAUGCACAGGUGCUGCAUGGCCGUCGUCAGCUCGUGUCGUGAGAUGUUUGGUUAAGUCCAGCAACGAGCGCAACCCCUGUGAACUGUUGCCAGCGCGUAAAGGCGGGGACUCUGUUCAGACUGCCCAGAUCAACUGGGAGGAAGGUGGGGACGACGUCAGGUCAGUAUGGCCCUUACGCCUAGGGCUGCACACGUACUACAAUGCCCAGCACAAUGAGAACCGAGACCGCAAGGUGGAGGAAAUCUGCAAAACUGGGCCCAGUUCGGAUUGGAGGCUGCAACUCGCCUCCAUGAAGUCGGAAUCGCUAGUAAUGC